Molecule: long non-coding RNA, 2214 nt
Filed under: Xyrichtys novacula (pearly razorfish)
Lineage: Eukaryota; Metazoa; Chordata; Actinopteri; Labriformes; Labridae
Source: RNAcentral
AAUUUUCAAAGACCUACACAGCAAAUUCAAAAGUGUUAAUUUUCCAGUGUUGGUGUUAAACGUUAAGAAUACAGUGUUAAUUCAACACUUGCUUAGUUCAAUUCAACUAUGUAAGAGUUAAUCCCUCAAAAGAGUUGGUGUUAAUCCGGGGAGUUAAAUCCAAAGAACUCUGUUGAGUGUUGAUCUUAAAAUCAACACUUAACAGAGUUUCUCCAACGGAUCUGUGACGUGUUUUUCCUAAAAGCGGGACAACUCCCAGUCUGAGAAGGAGUCUGAGCGGGGCAGGAGCAGAUCAGCAAAUGGUAGGUGAGUUUCUUUUUGCUGCCUUCAGGACUUCACCAAGUAUCUCUAUGUAAGUAAAUGAAGGGCAGCAUGCCAUUUGAUAAUAUCUUAUAUUCUAUGCAGUAAUGUUAAGUUUUAUGUGUUGAUAUUAAAUCUUGCUGAGUCGUCUCUGUAACAUGAGCUGACAUCAUGAUAGGCUCAGUCCAAUGUUAAGGUUAGCGUGGUUGUUGUCGCCUAAUGCUGUAUUUUAAAGUGUGCAUUAAUGUUUAUUUUGUACAUGAGAUAUGGGUGUUGAUAAUUAUACACAAUUUGCUAAUCGUUAGUAACGUUAUAGGCUACACGGUUAUAUUUCAAGCUAGCAAAGUAACGUUAGCACGUGCGCAAGGACUCGAGUUAGGUGUAUAGCUAAGCUAAAGUUUAUUCUUCGUGAGUGACAGUGUCGGCUAACGAUACACGGCAAAAUGUAAAGCGAUGGGGUAGAGAGCUGGGGCUGGACCGAGUGGUUGAGCUCCCGUUUGUCUAUGGAAAACGUUAGCUGCUAAAAGUCGGAGUGGCUCCGGGUAGUAACGUUAGCCUAAAGUUAAUUUAUGUUGCUGCUAGAGGAAUACAGGUGUAGACUUUCCGGGCCGCGACACCGAUCUCUUCACUAAACCCUAGAGCUUUUUACGAGCAGGAGUAGUUUACUUUGAUUUAUCUCUAGCUGUUGGCAUUUUUUUCUUUUCUUUUUAAAUGUUUAAUCUUAAUUUUAUUUUCUCAAUCUAUCAUUAGCCGCAGCUGUUACCGGAGUCGCACACCCCUCAGCUGCUGAUGCCUGAAAUGUGUGAGUUUUUAUAACGCUAACUGCAUAUGAACGUUAGCGUCAUUGUCAUGUUAUGCAUUCAGUAGAUGAUAUUUUGCCAAACGUACAAAGAAGAAUUGCUCACGUAUUUGUGUGUAUGGACAAGUGUGGGUGUUGUUAGCAUUAAGUUAGCCAUCAUGGUAGCAGGCAGGGUUAGCUUAGUGAUAUCGUGCUGGCUGCCGUUGUCCAGGUUGGCGUGACUUGCGAGGAAUUUUAUGGGAGACAAAAAAAAAAACCCAGAACAAUUACAACGAUCAAAAUCCGGCGAGUAAUCCGAGGCAAAAUGUCCCUGUGUCUUUACUCAUUCACAGUGAACAUACUGUAAAUGAUGAUGUAUUCUUUUUCUUUUUCUUCAUAGUACAUCAUGUUGGUGAAGGUGAGAUUCAGAGAAACGCAGACGUUAUGUCAAAGUGGCUGAGACUGAAGAUGGCUAUGAUGACUUCAAUACAUUUCUUCAGAAAGGUUAACAAUACAACCAAGAAUAUUUGUGCAAACUGACUAAUUGCUGUAAUACUUGCUGUAUUUAUCUAGUAUUCAAAUAUCUUAUAUUAUGGAGUUGUGUUUAUGAUAGCUAAUGGUAAUACCCUAUGAAGAGUAAAAAAAGUACUGUUAUAAAGUUGACCAAAAAUUUUGAAAAAACAAGUUAAGCACAUUUCUGGUAAUGUUCUUAUUGUAUUUUUUUAACCAUUGCUAGAUCUUCCACUUGAGACUGAGCUGCACUUGACAGAUGAAUCAGGGACAGAAGUCGAUGCAGAUGUGUUUGAGGAGCUUUUGCAAGCAGGGAACCUUACUGUUAGGGUGUCAACUGAGAAGUCAACAGGUGAGACUCAGACUUGUAAGGAGUGGAUUGUCAAUAAUGAGAAUUGUUGAGAACUAAUUAUUUUUUUCCUUUUGUGUAUACAUUUCUAAAUCUGUUUACAGUUGUGCUUCAAGAGGAUCUUUCAAACACUUUGUCGGAGUCACCCUUCUCAGACACAUCUUCGUCAGUGUCCAAAGACUCCCUGCUUGUGUCGUCUGAUUCAUCAGAUGCAACAGUAAUUGUUCAUACAAAUGGAGGGAAGAGAACCCAUGCUGAAAGGGAAUCUACAAAAGAG